AGAGUUUGAUCAUGGCUCAGGAUGAACGCUGGCGGCGUGCCUAACACAUGCAAGUCGAACGAAGGACUCGGAUUUCUUCGGAAGGAAAAGGACUGAGUGGCGGACGGGUGAGUAACGCGUGGGCAACCUGCCCCAUACAGGGGGAUAACAGCCGGAAACGGCUGCUAAUACCGCAUAAGCGCACAGUUUCGCAUGGAACAGUGUGAAAAACUCCGGUGGUAUGGGAUGGACCCGCGUCUGAUUAGCUGGUUGGCGGGGCAACGGCCCACCAAGGCGACGAUCAGUAGCCGGCCUGAGAGGGUGGACGGCCACAUUGGGACUGAGACACGGCCCAAACUCCUACGGGAGGCAGCAGUGGGGAAUAUUGCACAAUGGGGGAAACCCUGAUGCAGCGACGCCGCGUGAGUGAGGAAGUAUUUCGGUAUGUAAAGCUCUAUCAGCAGGGAAGAAAGAAUGACGGUACCUGACUAAGAAGCACCGGCUAAAUACGUGCCAGCAGCCGCGGUAAUACGUAUGGUGCAAGCGUUAUCCGGAUUUACUGGGUGUAAAGGGGAGCGCAGGCGGUACGGCAAGUCUGAUGUGAAAAGCCCCGGGGCCCAACCCCCGGUACUGCAUUGGAAAACUGUCGGACUGGAGUGUCGGAGGGGGCAAGCGGAAUUUCCUUAGUGUAGCGGUGAAAUGCGUAGAUAUUAGGAGGGAACACCGGGGGCGAAGGCGGCUUGCUGGGACGACAACUUGACGCCUGAGGCUUCGAAAGCGUGGGGAAGCAAACAGGAUUAGAUACCCUGGGUAGUCCACGC
RNAcentral lists this ribosomal RNA (800 nucleotides) under uncultured bacterium. Its description in RNAcentral is "bacterial SSU rRNA". It matches the Rfam family "Bacterial small subunit ribosomal RNA", at positions 8 to 800 of the family's 1533-position model. The record is from RNAcentral.